AUGCAGGUACUGAUACAGUAUAACUGAAGUGUUUUAUUGUCCUUCCCCCGGCUUGAAGCAUUUGAUACAUAACUAUCUCUGUCUGACUCCAUUCCACAGUAAGACAGAGAGGCUUGGUCUCAAACAU
This is a small nucleolar RNA of Prolemur simus (greater bamboo lemur), 127 nucleotides long. Its record names the gene SNORA63. It matches the Rfam family "Small nucleolar RNA SNORA63". From Rfam's summary of the family: E3 belongs to the H/ACA class of snoRNAs and is involved in the processing of eukaryotic pre-rRNA and has regions of complementarity to 18S rRNA. Lineage: Eukaryota; Metazoa; Chordata; Mammalia; Primates; Lemuridae. The record is from Ensembl.